Candidatus Staskawiczbacteria bacterium is the source of this 72-nucleotide non-coding RNA. Lineage: Bacteria; Candidatus Staskawicziibacteriota. The record is from Rfam.
GCCGAUGUAGCUCAGUGGUAGAGCAACUCUUUCGUAAAGAGUAGGUCGCCAGUUCAAAUCUGGCCAUCGGCU